CUGCCUGGCAAGCGCAACGUCGUGAGUUCGAUUCCCAGUACCAGAAAAACAAACAAAAAAAAAGAGCUACAGUACAAAGUUGAGGGCUGAGGCUGACCGGUGGUCACUACACCCUGACUCGCGCAUGCGCGCGCUACAUCACACUGGAGCCUGCUUUAUAACAGUGUAUAACGCAAAAUAGAAAUCUGUUACUGUGUAAAGGAAGGCAGGAAAGAGGCAACCCGACAACAGGACAGUAAGCCAGGCCUGAGCGAAAAAGUCGUCUAUGACAGCCUCGCUGUAGCCGCUUGACAGAGUCUUUACUCAACGCAAACUGAGAUGACUGGAUUUUGCAGCAUAGUCUGUGCCCUUUCCUGUGAAGCCUGCUGUCUGCUUGAGUUUCCCGCCCUGACACCUGAUUGGCCGCGCUGCGACUGCCUGCCAGGUGAUGUCUCCAUCCGGAAACCUGGUAGAUACUCUGGAAAAUAACCCUGGGAGGAGAAACGGAGCGUGUGCUCACCCUCAGGAGGAACUGCUGAGCUCAGUUAUCACGGGAGUUGUCGGGAACCAAGCCUAGAAGAGCUGCACCAACGGCCUUUGGAAGGAAACCUUUCAUUUGGAGAUGAUGUGUGCACCGUGCCGGUGUUUUUUCUUUCCUGGUGGUGCUUAAAAUACUAGUGUACCUUACUGUCAGUGGCGGCUCACAGUUGAUGAAGUUCAGCGUGUUAGGUCAAAUUUGUUAAUUAUUCAAACCUGUAUCUCUCUGAUGAUUUUCUCUAUCUGUUGUAAAUUAUGUUAAAAAUCUAAGACUGAAUUUUUCAUUUCUGAAUUUUGUCUAACAUCUUCACUUUCUAUUAGGUGCAUUUAAAUCUGGAUGCAUUUUAUCCUCAGGUUAAUUGAAUCUUCUAUCACUUUAUAGUGACCAUCUUUGUUCUAAUUUUUAUACUUUAAAAUCCACUUUGUUCAAUGUAAAUCUAGCUAUGCCAGCUUUCUUUUGGAUAGGACUUCACUAAUAAAACUUUUUUCAUGCUUUUCCUUAAA
Long non-coding RNA from Chinchilla lanigera (long-tailed chinchilla), 1020 nucleotides. RefSeq lists it as uncharacterized. NCBI's taxonomy places the organism in Eukaryota, Metazoa, Chordata, Mammalia, Rodentia, Chinchillidae. The transcript is spliced from 2 exons. The record is from RefSeq and is a predicted model, not a curated record.